Non-coding RNA from Solanum lycopersicum (tomato), 443 nucleotides. NCBI's taxonomy places the organism in Eukaryota, Viridiplantae, Streptophyta, Magnoliopsida, Solanales, Solanaceae. The record is from RefSeq and is a predicted model, not a curated record.
AUAAUACUUUUUUCUUUAUUAUUAAUACUUGUCUCAAAUUUUUAAAAGGUUUACUUUUGCUUAUUUUAUUAGUAACAAAACUAUAAAUUUGAAUAUAGAUGAGACUACGCCCUGUAAAUUCAUGGAAUUUACGUUCAAAUCUCGAGACUUAUGCCUCGUCCCGCAUGAUAUAAAACGCCUCAACUUUACACAGAAAAAAGAGUAAAAAUUUCAAGUUUGUCCUCCUAAAGGAGUCAUUGAAUUACAUUUGCCAUUCAAAAAAUAAAAAACUCAAAGGGCUAAGGAGCUGACAAAAUCAAGAUAGUGAUCUAAAUUAUUCACAAGGGCUAGAUUAAACAGACAACUAACCUUAAGCUUACAAAUUGGAGUUGUAACUUCAUUGAAAAAUAUCAUGUUUCUUAUAAUUCAAAUAUUCCAAACAUCUGAUGUUUAUAUUCGCUAAA